Molecule: long non-coding RNA, 854 nt
Filed under: Setaria italica (foxtail millet)
Lineage: Eukaryota; Viridiplantae; Streptophyta; Magnoliopsida; Poales; Poaceae
Description: long non-coding RNA (SITA_LNC005608)
Source: RNAcentral
AGGAUCCAGUAUCGGCUAAAGUUCUUUUAGCAUCCUAGGUGAGCUAACCCGAUUUAUACCCAUUUUUCACGACUGAAUGAGUUACGGAUAGGGAUGGAGAGCCCUGCAAAUUACAUCCAUAGUUAUUAGGACCGGAUCGGUCAUCAAACCGGUAGGGAUCUCAGCUCAAUGGUUCAUUGGUCCAACCGUUAAGAACUGGUUGAACCGCCGCUUCAAUAGCUUUAGACCGGUUGAGCGAAGCGGCCACGAAUAAUGAGAACCUGUAUAAUAUAUAUAUAUUUGAUAAUUAAAACUAGUCAAAUGUAAAAUAAGAUUAUGAAAAUAAUUAGAAGACUCGUGGCGCCCAUUUAGAAGUCCAUCGUGAGAAUUUCAUUCACAAUUAAUUUGAUAAUAAAAAGGAAAAACAAUUAUAUUAAUAUAUUAUACACUUCUACGUUUGGAUCUAUAGCGCAAUAAUAAUUUGACCCGAUGUCCUGCCCGAUGACUACUGCGACUAGCGAUGUUGAGGUCUUGAGGACGAAGGGAUUGGGACAAGGAUGGAGAGAGCAACCGAGCAUGGAUGAAGCCGAGGCGCUGAAGCUCGCCGGGCCUGCUCUGCGGUGCUCGCCACUGGCUGAACCUGUCACGCCGCCGCCUGGCUCGCCGUUCACCAUUGCGUCAGAGCUUCCCGCGGUAGCCUCCCAGUCCCAGCGUUCGCCGGCGCACGAGCUGCCUCCCUCCCAGCAGCAGGGGAUGGCAGGCCGGCCCUGCUCCACCGCGUGCUAGCGGCGGCAGCAGCAGCCAUUGCAGGCCAUGCGAAACGGAGAGAGAAAAAAAGGAAAGUUAAAGGUCAAACGUUGUGCAGCAGCCCCAAG